UACGUAGGGACCAAGCGUUGUUCGGAUUUACUGGGCGUAAAGGGCGCGUAGGCGGCCGCCUAAGUCAGACGUGAAAUCCCUCGGCUCAACCGGGGAACUGCGUCUGAUACUGGGUGGCUUGAAUUCGGGAGAGGGAUGCGGAAUUCCAGGUGUAGCGGUGAAAUGCGUAGAUAUCUGGAGGAACACCGGUGGCGAAGGCGGCAUCCUGGACCGAGAUUGACGCUGAGGCGCGAAAGCCAGGGGAGCAAACGGG
RNAcentral lists this ribosomal RNA (253 nucleotides) under uncultured bacterium. Its description in RNAcentral is "partial 16S ribosomal RNA". It matches the Rfam family "Bacterial small subunit ribosomal RNA", at positions 524 to 776 of the family's 1533-position model. The record is from RNAcentral.